AAAGCUGCCCAUUCGUCUUGGCAAAAUUCCUCCAGGUCAUGCAAAGUCUUUGGUUGUCUUGCAUGAAUUGCAUUUUUGAGUUCUCACCAGAGUUGCUCGAUGAUAUUAAGGUCAGGACACUGAUGGCCACUCCAGAAUCUUCACCUUUUUCUGCCGUAACCACUGGAGGAUCAUCUUGGCCUUGUGCUUAGGGUCAUUGUCAUGCUGUAAAGUCCAAGAGCAUCCCAUGUGCAGAAGAAUGCAAAUUGUCUGCAGCAUGUUGUCAGAAAAUACUGGCAUUCAUCUUGCCAUCAAUUUUCACAAGAUUCCCCAUGUCUUUAGCGCUCACACCCCCUAAAACAUCAUUGAACCACCACUAUGCUUCACAGUGGGGAUGGUAUUCUUUUCACUUGCCUUGUUGACCCCUCUCCAAACAUAGGUUGUGACCAUAGAGCUCUAUUUUGGUCUCGUCACGCCAGAUUACAGUGUGC
Molecule: non-coding RNA, 470 nt
Organism: Pelobates cultripes (western spadefoot toad)
Lineage: Eukaryota; Metazoa; Chordata; Amphibia; Anura; Pelobatidae
Source: the annotation of a GenBank genome assembly